CUCUUAUCAAGAGAGGUGGAGGGAAGUGCCCUAUGAAGCCCGGCAACCGUCAAUUAUUUGAAAUGGUGCCAAUUCACUCAAAGCAUAGCUUUGACAGAUGAGAG
This 104-nucleotide non-coding RNA is filed under the name Bacillus sp. (in: firmicutes). Its description in RNAcentral is "Bacillus sp. SAM-I sequence". It matches the Rfam family "SAM riboswitch aptamer (S box leader)". Rfam says of the family: The SAM riboswitch is found upstream of a number of genes which code for proteins involved in methionine or cysteine biosynthesis in Gram-positive bacteria. The SAM riboswitch acts at the level of transcription termination control. The record is from RNAcentral. Lineage: Bacteria; Bacillati; Bacillota; Bacilli; Caryophanales; Bacillaceae.